ACGACUCUGGGCAACGGAUAUCUCGGCUCUCGCAUCGAUGAAGAACGUAGCGAAAUGCGAUACCUGGUGUGAAUUGCAGAAUCCCGCGAACCAUCGAGUCUUUGAACGCAAGUUGCGCCCGAGGCCACUCGGCCGAGGGCACGCCUGCCUGGGCGUCACGC
RNAcentral lists this ribosomal RNA (161 nucleotides) under Hordeum procerum. RNAcentral's name for it is "5.8S ribosomal RNA". It matches the Rfam family "5.8S ribosomal RNA". From Rfam's summary of the family: 5.8S ribosomal RNA (5.8S rRNA) is a component of the large subunit of the eukaryotic ribosome. It is transcribed by RNA polymerase I as part of the 45S precursor that also contains 18S and 28S rRNA. Lineage: Eukaryota; Viridiplantae; Streptophyta; Magnoliopsida; Poales; Poaceae. The record is from RNAcentral.